RNAcentral lists this unclassified non-coding RNA (146 nucleotides) under uncultured Allantophomopsis. RNAcentral's name for it is "sequence contains ITS2". The record is from RNAcentral. Lineage: Eukaryota; Fungi; Ascomycota; Leotiomycetes; Helotiales.
CAACCCUCAAGCUCUGCUUGGUAUUGGGCGUCACCCCCGGGUGCGCCUUAAAAUCAGUGGCGGUGCCGUCUGGCUUCAAGCGUAGUAAUACUUCUCGCUUUGGAGUCCGGGCGAGCGUCCUGCCAAAACCCCCAUAUUUUUUAAGG